Molecule: long non-coding RNA, 129 nt
Organism: Lagopus leucura (white-tailed ptarmigan)
Lineage: Eukaryota; Metazoa; Chordata; Aves; Galliformes; Phasianidae
Exons: 3
Source: RefSeq, a predicted model, not a curated record
UCUCUGUGAACCUACAUCUUUGGGUACAGAUGCACUGCUGCCAGUGAGAAGUCAGCAAUUAGCAACAGGACCCCACCCAUAAAUUAACAGUGGUAUCUGGGUAUGAGAUGACGGCAGGGAUUAUAAAGU